GUGAAUUUUUGUCGCUUGAGCUUGCUCAGCGUCUUCACAUCCAUAACACCUGUGCACUGUUGGAUGAUACAAGGUCUCUGUGCCUUGUUCAUCCACCUUUACAUCAAACACAAUGUAACAAAUGUAGUCUUAUUAUAACAUAAUA
This 145-nucleotide unclassified non-coding RNA is filed under the name uncultured Basidiomycota. RNAcentral describes it as "sequence contains ITS1". The record is from RNAcentral. Lineage: Eukaryota; Fungi; Basidiomycota.